Molecule: unclassified non-coding RNA, 363 nt
Filed under: uncultured fungus
Lineage: Eukaryota; Fungi
Description: partial contains small subunit ribosomal RNA, internal transcribed spacer 1, and 5.8S ribosomal RNA
Rfam family: Eukaryotic small subunit ribosomal RNA (bases 1-73)
Source: RNAcentral
ACAAACUUGGUCAUUUAGAGGAAGUACAAGUCGUAACAAGGUAUCCGUAGGUGAACCUGCGGAUGGAUCAUUACUGUGUGAUUCUGUUUGUAAUGUGAAUUGUUGAUUGUUGCGGUUGGUGGUGUUUUGAUGUGUUUUGGUGUUACUUUGACGUACUUGGUAUUUCUUUGUACGUGGUACUUCUUUGAUGUACUUGGCGUCUUUUGAUGUACAUGGUAUUUCUUUGAUGUGCUUGGCAUCUUGUCAACAUCGUCUCAGCACCAGCCUUUGUACGUACACUAUGCAAGCCUGAGUCCAUUUACUGAAUGAAAAACAACUUUUAGCAAUGGAUCUCUUGGCUCUCGCAUCGAUGAAGAACGCAGC